This 77-nucleotide transfer RNA is filed under the name Bacteroidales bacterium. RNAcentral's name for it is "tRNA-Lys". It matches the Rfam family "tRNA". Rfam says of the family: Transfer RNA (tRNA) molecules are approximately 80 nucleotides in length. Their secondary structure includes four short double-helical elements and three loops (D, anti-codon, and T loops). The record is from RNAcentral. Lineage: Bacteria; Pseudomonadati; Bacteroidota; Bacteroidia; Bacteroidales.
CGGCCCGUGGCAGAGUGGUUAUGCAUCAGACUUUUAAUCUGAGCGACGUUUGGGUUCGAAUCCCACCGGGUCGACCA